GGGUUCUUUCCCGGUAUUCUUUUCUACACCAGCUCAGGUCUCUCUGCAAGGUCCCCAGGGGAAAGGUGGCAGACAUGAAAUUAACCGUACUUGACCUGAUCAUUCCUUAUUGAUUCAGAACAUUGAUGGAUUAGGACUAUAGAUGUUCUUUCCGAGUCAUAGAGAACAUAUCUUUCCACUUCUAUUCCUUUUUCCACCUUUCUUGAAAGGUACGCAUCUAAAAAAUGGAUCUUACAUCUUACACCAGAAAGAGAAAAGGAUUUCCCAGAUCUUUUUAAGCAUUGAGCAACUAUACAAAUUUGAGUACGUCAAAAGGGGAAAAUAAAUCUCCAGUUAAGAACUCUAAGAUAUAUGUGGAGAAAAACCAAAAAUUUGCAUUUCACCACCUCUACUUUGUCAGCCAAUUUACUUCGCCGUUUUUCUUUUUUCUUUCUUUCUUUGUUUUAUGCAGGGUUCCAACUGCAUACGAGCCUCCAUUUGCUACGUCAGCAAAGCUAAGAUUCACAAAUAUUGUUAUUGACCAUAUUCAAAGAGAAUUCUUCUGUCAUCAGCAUACUUUGAACAUGAUCAAGAAGUCCUGUAA
Molecule: unclassified non-coding RNA, 583 nt
Filed under: Hevea brasiliensis (rubber tree)
Lineage: Eukaryota; Viridiplantae; Streptophyta; Magnoliopsida; Malpighiales; Euphorbiaceae
Source: RNAcentral